AGUUCUUCAGGGCUGUCUCUGUGAUCCAGGCUUUGAUCUGGGAAAGGUUGCGCCUCAUUGCAGAGUUGAAGCUAUCUGCCUGCUUUGUUUACACGAACGCCCUUCCAGGACUCUGUCUGCUUUUGGGGUGGAAGUGCCCUGCCAAAAACUCCAGCUCUCCAUGCUGGCUGUGUGGCCAGCAUACCUCCUGCCUUUUCAACGAUUCCUCUGCCCUGGAUAGAGAGCGGUGUCUCAUAACAGUUUGGAAACUACAAAAGUUUCCCUGGCAGGAUGAAUGAUUGACUCGGCAACAUGUUCUUGCCUUUUGGAGUUGCCCUCCAAUUUUUCCAGGCUUGAUUCUGUAAAUCAUUUCAUCUUGUAAAAAUACUGGGCUGUGAGCACGGAUGAUCUCAAAGAUGAGGAAACAGAAGCUGGGAUAUGUGAGUAAACAUUUCCAAGGUCCUGCAGCUAAUCAAUGGUUGACAACUUCUUUCCUCUGCCUAUGUUGCCAUCCAUGUCAUGGUUUGUGUCAAGACUCUAGGAGAAGUCUACCAUCAGCACCACAGCUACUGUGCACAAAUCCAGAAUGCCAGACUGAAGUCAGAAGGAAAGAUGCUUGGGUGUUGACUGUGAACUAUGACCUUCGUGAUCAACUUGGAAUCAAAUGUCUCUCAGGAGAGGAUAUAAAGGACUAUCUGGAGGGGGCCCCUCCUCAUUCACUGAAGGAAGGAGACAUUCAUUUAUUUCCUCUUCCUGCUCACUGGCUGUGAAGAUAAUGAUCGCUUAAAGAAAUAUGAUAUGGGAGGCCAGAGAGAAAAAGAAAGAAGCAAAGCAAGAAGUGUGACAAAUUCUCAAAUGCAUUUUGAGCAGUUGAAUUACAUAGGGCACUGUAAUAAUGUCACAGGACACUUUUACAAAGAUUUGAACACCAGGCAUUCUAAUCCUAAGCACUACACAAAAUGGCCCUGCUGAUUUUCCCCUGUGGGGGGCUACAGGGCUCUAGUGAGGUCUCUCGCCCAAGCAAUGAAACAUUUCUGUGGUAGGCUGAAGACUGUGGGCCCCCAGAUCCACGAAAGAGCAAGCUCCGCAGAUACCCAGUCUCUUCUGGGAUCCAGUUUGUUCCAUGUCAGGGAUCAGGAGGAAACCCACACAGGGUAACUCUUCUCAGGAAGGUAGAGCCUAAAGGGGAAUACCCAGCCCUUUCUUUGACCUCUUUCUCUUCCUUCGGCCUUAGCAAUGAGGGCUGGGAAGAAGAGGUGACUGUGCAUUUGUGCAUCUCCCUGCUUCCAGAUCCCUUCUCUCCACAGAGGCCGAAAAUCCCAUUUGGAUUGGCAAAUCUGGCUGAACAAUGUCCAGAUUAAAUCUGAGAACUUUCUCAGUGUUAAAGGUUUCCAGCCUUUAGCAUCCAUAAAAGCAAACAAGAUAAAGUUACACUCAAAAUAGGAAUGGUAGGGAAAAAGGUCUCCCGGUUUACCAUAAAAAUCAAAUUACUCCCAGGACCUUGGUGACAGUUAACUCUCUGGCUUUCUUAUAUCACACAGAAUUAUUGCUCUGAAAGAGUCUUUCUCACAGUUCUCCAGA
This 1560-nucleotide long non-coding RNA is filed under the name Homo sapiens (human). Its description in RNAcentral is "long independently transcribed non-coding RNA 3007, transcript variant 16 (LINC03007)". Lineage: Eukaryota; Metazoa; Chordata; Mammalia; Primates; Hominidae. The record is from RNAcentral.